This 433-nucleotide ribosomal RNA is filed under the name uncultured bacterium. RNAcentral describes it as "partial 16S ribosomal RNA". It matches the Rfam family "Bacterial small subunit ribosomal RNA", at positions 29 to 507 of the family's 1533-position model. The record is from RNAcentral.
AACGAACGCUGGCGGCAGGCCUAACACAUGCAAGUCGAGCGCACCCUUCGGGGUGAGCGGCGGACGGGUGAGUAACGCGUGGGAACGUGCCCUUCUCUGCGGAAUAGCCCCGGGAAACUGAGAGUAAUACCGCAUACGCCCUUUGGGGGAAAGAUUUAUCGGAGAAGGAUCGGCCCGCGUUGGAUUAGGUAGUUGGUGGGGUAAUGGCCUACCAAGCCGACGAUCCAUAGCUGGUUUGAGAGGAUGAUCAGCCACACUGGGACUGAGACACGGCCCAGACUCCUACGGGAGGCAGCAGUGGGGAAUCUUAGACAAUGGGCGCAACCCUGAUCUAGCCAUGCCGCGUGAGUGAUGAAGGCCUUAGGGUUGUAAAGCUCUUUCAGCUGGGAAGAUAAUGACAGUACCAGCAGAAGAAGCCCCGGCUAACUCCGUG